GGUGAGUGUUACAGCUCUAUUAGAAGCCGUGGGUCACAGAAGAGAACCGUGGAACCUAGAGACCAGUGUUCAGCUCGAUUGGGACGAACCUGGGCACUUAGCCGUGCAGAAACAAUGGCGAGCCUUUAGCCGGAUCGGGAGCAGUAAUGGGUGCCUCCAUGGACAGCGGACACCCUGCCGGAUCCAGAGGGGUGGAAGUCAGCGGCGGGUCUGCGAUGUGGGCAAACAACAGUGGUGGACAAUAGUCUUGCUCAGUUGCCCAGGCUAGAGUGCAGUGGUGUGAUCAUGGCUCACUGCAGCCUUGAACUCCUGGGCUCAAGUUAUCCUCCCACCUCAGCUUCCUUAGUUGCUGGGACUACAAGUGCAGGCCAUGCCUGGCUUCUAUGGAUUGUGGAUUUCUUAUUUCAUGAGCUGGACACAAUUUCUCAUGACAUUAUGCACCUGGCUCCAAUGCUGCUAUUAUUAUAAUGUACUCUUUAUGUAUGAUAUUUUCACAAUUAAACAAAAUCAUUUUUGAUAUUUUUGCUUGUGAUUAAAAUAGAACUUAUAUUGAUCAUG
RNAcentral lists this long non-coding RNA (558 nucleotides) under Homo sapiens (human). Its description in RNAcentral is "HSALNT0342133". Lineage: Eukaryota; Metazoa; Chordata; Mammalia; Primates; Hominidae. The record is from RNAcentral.